CAUCUCUGCUACAGAACUACAAUUCCCAGAAUGUCUUGCUGAGAUGCUGAGAUCAUUUUAUUAUACCUGCUCAGUGAGAAAUUGCAGAUUCAAAUGAGAUAAACAGGACUGAACAGGAGACCAGGAGAGGCUGAAAAUCAAUUGUUAAAUUGCAAAAUCUGAGCUUGAUACAGCUGGGAUAGAUCACUUGAGAACUCUUUUUAAUAUGGAAAAUGUUAUAUGCAGAAAUAUUUUUAACACAAAGAGAAAUAAGUCAAAACUCUCAGGAAAUCAAAAAGGUUCUAAUUUGGGUAUCUCCCAAAAAAAGAAAGACGGAGAAUCUUCCGACAAAUUAAAAAGAGAACACAAAUUUGUUCAACCCAAUAUACCCCAAACAAAAGUAAAAUGUCAUAUUUGUUCUUGGUGCAAAAAGCAGUUUUCGCAAAAGUCCCAUCUUAACAGACACAUAAAAAGUCAUACGGGGGAUGCUCCUCACGCGUGUUCAGAAUGUGAAAAAUGCUUUAGUGUAAAGUCCAAUCUUAUCAUACAUAUGAGAAUUCACACAGGGGAGAAACCGUACAAAUGUUCUGAAUGUAAAAGUUGCUUUGCACACCAAAGCCAUCUUGUGGUCCACCAAAGAACUCAUACAGGGGUGAAACCCUACAGCUGCCCCGAAUGUAAACAAAGUUUUGCCUACUCUUCAGUUCUUAGAAGCCACCAGAAAAUUCACAUGGGAAUUAGGCAUAAUUGUACCGAGUGCAGCAAGACCUUCAGUCGGAAACAACAUCUUAGUCGUCACCUCAGAAUCCACACGGGCGAAAAGCCGUUCAACUGUUCAGAAUGCGGGAUGUGCUUUAAUAGGAAAUACACUCUGGAUGCACAUUACAGAACGCACACAGGAGAAAAACCUUACGAAUGCUUUGAAUGUGAUAAAAAGUUUAGUAUGAAAAAAACACUUCACCAGCACCAACAGAAGGUUCAUGCUGCCGACGGUUCCUCAUGUUCAUCAAACUUAGAGACUGAGUGAGAGGGCUCAGUAUAUGUACACGGUGUGAUAAAGUAAUGAGAUCUGAUUAUAUCUACAGAUAUAAGCUAAAGACGCAUGUAUAUGUACACAAUGUGAUAAAGUAAUUAGAUCUGAUUAUACCUAUAGAUAUAAGAUAAAGACACAUGUAUAUGUACACAAUGUGAUAAAGUAAUGAGAUCUGAUUAUACCUACAGAUAUAAGAUAAAGACACAUGUAUAUGUACACAGUGUGAUAAAGUAAUGAGAUCUGAUUAUACCUACAGAUAGAAGAUAAAGACACAUGUAUAGGUACACAGUGUGAUAAAGUAAUGAGAUCUGAUUAUACCUACAGAUAGAAGAUAAAGACACAUGUAUAGGUACACAAUGUGAUAAAGUAAUGAGAUCUGAUUAUACCUACAUAUAUAAGAUAAAGACACAUGUAUAUGUACACAGUGUGAUAAAGUAAUGAGAUCUGAUUAUACCUACAGAUAUAAGAUAAAGACACAUGUAUAUGUACACAAUGUGAUAAAGUAAUGAGAUUUGAUUAUACCUACAGAUAUCAGAGACAUGUAUAUGUACACAAUGUGAUAAAGUAAUGAGAUCAGCUUAUAUCUACAAGCUCAUCCCAUUUUAUUAGGUUGUGGCUUCAAAACACAAAACCAGCUAAUUCAUAUACACAAAUAAACCUUAAAAAGCAAAUCCUCAUACAUUGUAUGCUCUGCAGUUGGUAAAACUGAAAACACAUUAAGGGGAAAACAAGUUUACAGUUUACUGUCCCUUUAAAUUAAUGUUUUGGUUUUUAUGCCAAUUGUAUCAUGACUUAACCACUUUGUGAUUUUCAUUAAAAUGUUUAGUCUUA
Long non-coding RNA from Bombina bombina (fire-bellied toad), 1843 nucleotides. RefSeq lists it as uncharacterized. The transcript has 2 exons. Lineage: Eukaryota; Metazoa; Chordata; Amphibia; Anura; Bombinatoridae. The record is from RefSeq and is a predicted model, not a curated record.